UAGCUCCUCAUUGCUGUUGAGAACAACCCUCCAGAAAUCCCUGAUGAUCUCUGUACAUACCUGGUUGAUAAAAAGUUACUGAAGUGCAACAGGGCAGAAGCCACUUCUGUGUGUCUGUGGUGGACCUUGAACUCACUAAGAAUAUUAAACAGAAUCAGGAGUACAUGGAGCAAAAGAGCUGUGAGGAUUUAGACUAAAGAUGAUUCACAGGGCUUGAUAUAAAAGGCAGCAGCUGAAUAAAACCUUUUCAGAGAAGAGAAUGAUAAAACCACAAUACAAGGACAGGGAAUUGAAAGCCUACUGGACUGAAUUUCAUUGUUUUCUUCUGAUUAAUACUGCAAAUUGAAAGCCACUGUGUUUAACCUGUGCUGAUGGUACAGUUGCUGUAAUUAAGCAUAAGAAUAUGGUCUUACAACUCAUGCAUGCCAAUUGUUUCAUACAAAGCACCUGGUAAAUUUGCCAGUACAUACAGUAUUAAAUCUACAACAGAGGCAUCCACCCACCAAAGGCUGCCAUUGUUACUUUUUUAAUCGAUCCACAGUAUUCUGCCACAUCUUCACUUCCCAAUUCCUGAGCAAAAAAGAAGUAAUGGAGCCUUUCACAGAUGGUGAGGUAGCAAAGGGAUGUGUUGUUUUAGCCGUGUGGGAAGGAAGGGGUUGUGCUACAAAGGAAGAUAAAACCCAGCAAGUGUAACAAAUCUGGAAAAUUCCAUUAUCAUAUGCCUUGUCUCAUCACUCUUACCAUCUGACUGACUGAUUUAAUGUUGCUAAGAGACUUGACAGACCAACUUGUUAGCAUUAGAUACUGCACAUAGUAGUUAUUGAUAAAUCAAUUGUUACCACUAAUUUUACUCCAAUAGGGUUGCUAUUUCUGUAGUCAGGAGUUGGCUGAAGGAUCUGUUUGUGUUCACUCGUUUCCUUUCCCUCCUCCUCCACGUAACUGGUUCUCUUUUUUAUUUCCUAAGUAUUUUUGGUGAUUUCAUGGUAGGAAGACAAGCUAGAAGCCAAGAGAAUAAAAUUAUCCUCAGGCACAAAUGCAGAAA
Molecule: long non-coding RNA, 1042 nt
Organism: Empidonax traillii (willow flycatcher)
Lineage: Eukaryota; Metazoa; Chordata; Aves; Passeriformes; Tyrannidae
Exons: 3
Source: RefSeq, a predicted model, not a curated record